GACGAACGCUGGCGGCGUGCUUAACACAUGCCAGUCGUACGGUAAGGCCCUUUCGGGGGUACACGAGUGGCGAACGGGUGAGUAACACGUGAGUAACCUGCCCACAACUUUGGGAUAACGCUAGGAAACUGGUGCUAAUACUGGAUAUGUGCUCCUGCUGCAUGGUGGUGGUUGGAAAGCUCCGGCGGUUGUGGAUGGACUCGCGGCCUAUCAGCUUGUUGGUGGGGUAGUGGCCUACCAAGGCGGCGACGGGUAGCCGGCCUGAGAGGGUGACCGGCCACAUUGGGACUGAGAUACGGCCCAGACUCCUACGGGAGGCAGCAGUGGGGAAUAUUGCACAAUGGGCGCAAGCCUGAUGCAGCAACGCCGCGUGCGGGAUGACGGCCUUCGGGUUGUAAACCGCUUUCAGCAGGGACGAAGCUUUUUGUGGCGGUACCUGCAGAAGAAGCACCGGCUAACUACGUG
RNAcentral lists this ribosomal RNA (465 nucleotides) under uncultured bacterium. RNAcentral's name for it is "partial 16S ribosomal RNA". It matches the Rfam family "Bacterial small subunit ribosomal RNA", at positions 28 to 507 of the family's 1533-position model. The record is from RNAcentral.